Pan paniscus (pygmy chimpanzee) is the source of this 480-nucleotide long non-coding RNA. The record is from Ensembl. Lineage: Eukaryota; Metazoa; Chordata; Mammalia; Primates; Hominidae.
CUCAACCUAACUGAAGCAGAACAAGAAGGACGGAUAUUUAUUACAAGUCUUCACAGGAAUGUAGGCGAUUAGCCACGGAGCCCUUCUCUGUCUAGCAUCAGGCAUCAGACGCCCAGCUAUACAGAGGCCAUUUGAAUGGAACUGCAGAAUAAUCUUCAGAAGAAAAAGCAAGCUCACAUGAGUGGCAGCAGCCCAUUGUGCUGAGCUAAAGACGCUGGAGAGAGUCUGGUUGGCGGUGGGGAGAAAAUGCUGUGGCUCUAUCAAAUACAGCUCAAAAAGCUACUCAUCCAGUUCAACUCUCUCCUUUGAAAGAUGAAGAUAUUGAGACCCAGAGAGGUAAAGUGACUUCUCUAAAAUCUCACAAUUAGCAAAACAAGGUUAUUUACAUCUUGUUCCUUAGGUUAAAGACUCACCUGAUUUUUCUCUCUCUACAAGCAGAUUCUGCAUAUUUUCUGUUGAAAAAAAAUUCCUUAAGGGUGU